RNAcentral lists this ribosomal RNA (256 nucleotides) under uncultured bacterium. RNAcentral's name for it is "partial 16S ribosomal RNA". It matches the Rfam family "Bacterial small subunit ribosomal RNA", at positions 524 to 776 of the family's 1533-position model. The record is from RNAcentral.
UACGUAGGAGGCGAGCGUUGUCCGGAGUUACUGGGCGUAAAGGGUGCGCAGGCGGCGGUUCGCGUGGAUAGAUGAAAUCUCCUGGCUUACCUGGGAGGAUGGUAUCCAGACGGGAUCGCUUGAGGGUCGGAGAGGGGCGUGGAAUUCCGGGUGGAGCGGUGAAAUGCGUAGAGAUCCGGAGGAACACCGACGGCGAGGCAGCGCCCUGGGACGACACCUGACGCUGAGGCACGAAAAGCUGGGGGGAGCGAACAGG